GGUCCGCCUGCCCUGUGACUAUUAGUUUAACGGCCGCGGUAUUUUGACCGCGCGAAGGUAGCGCAAUCACUUGUCUCUUAAAUGGAGACCUGUAUGAAUGGCACAACGAGGGCUUAGCUGUCUCCUCCCCUAAGUUAAUGAAAUUGAUCUUCCCGUGCAGAAGCGGGGAUAAAUACAUAAGACGAGAAGACCCUAUGAAGCUUUAGACGUAAGGUAGCCCCUACUACAACACCCCCUGUUAAGGGAAUAAACCAAUAAGCCCCUGCCCCCAUGUCUUUGGUUGGGGCGACCGCGGGGAAAGAGAAAACCCCCACGUGGAACGGGAGUACAACUCCUUAAGCUCAGAGCCUCAGCUCUAAGAAACAAAAUUUUUGACCUAAAGAUCCGGCAUUGCCGAUCAACGAACCGAGUUACUCUAGGGAUAACAGCGCAAUCCCCUUUUAGAGACCAUAUCAACAAGGGGGUUUACGACCUCGAUGUUGGAUCAGGACAUCCUAUUGGUGCAGCAGCUAUUAAGGGUUCGUUUGUUCAACGAUUAAA
This 540-nucleotide ribosomal RNA is filed under the name Parachaenichthys charcoti. Its description in RNAcentral is "partial 16S ribosomal RNA". It matches the Rfam family "Bacterial large subunit ribosomal RNA", at positions 1852 to 2592 of the family's 2925-position model. Lineage: Eukaryota; Metazoa; Chordata; Actinopteri; Perciformes; Bathydraconidae. The record is from RNAcentral.